Molecule: non-coding RNA, 2728 nt
Organism: Salvia hispanica
Lineage: Eukaryota; Viridiplantae; Streptophyta; Magnoliopsida; Lamiales; Lamiaceae
Source: RefSeq, a predicted model, not a curated record
CUUCCCCGCCUAAAAACCUCCCAAUCCAAAGAAGUAUUCAACGGCUCCCAAAUCGUAGGGUUUAAAUGUCGCUCUUCUCCAUAAACCCUUUCUCACUACUCACUCCUAAACAUUAAAAAUUGAUUUAAAAACUCUGACAUCGCCGCAGAUUUUGCAUAUCCGCGGAUUUGUGAAUUUUGGUCAUUGAAUGUUAAUCAGGGUUCGGUUCCUAAAGUAAAAUGGGCACCCCACCCAAAGUAUAUGAAGGUUCUCACAUUUGGGUUGAGGAUCCGGAGGUUGUUUGGAUUGAUGGGAAAAUGCUAAAGAUUCUCGCGGACGAAGUUGAAGUCGUAACAUCUGAUGGAAGGACGGUAAAACAUCAUUGUUUUUUAGCUGAUGCUUUUUCCUCUUUUGUAUGGUGUCAAGGACUAUAGUAUAGAUAGCUCAUUGCUUGUCUUCUUUAGAUCCAAUUUGCCAACAAAUAAUUAGUUUGCUCUGGAACAGAGAAGAUAAGUUUCCAUAAUUUAGUGUAAUAAACCUACUUUUCUUCUGAUACACACUGUCAAGGUAAUCAAACUGCAGUCUAGUACGAUCUUCUUCUUCUUCUUGGUUUUUUCAAGGAAAAAUAAAUUAAAGUUAUUACCGAGUCUUGUUAGAUAAAUUAGAAAAAUGAUGAAUAAGGGGACAAGUAGCUCAAUACUGGUAAGCAGAGAAAGUGGUGCUGGUAAGACUGAAACUACUAAGAUGCUUAUGCAAUAUCUUGCUUAUUGGGGUUGCUAUAAAGAAGGUGAAGGAAGAUCAGUAGGAACAUCAAGUUCUUGAGGUAGGUUUUGUCAUCUAAUUUUCUAUUUAAUUACUGAUAAUCUUACUAUUUAUAGUUUAUUUUCUUUCAAAAUAUUUUCUUGAAAAGUCUCUCUUGUAGAAUAUGUUAUAAUGAUAAUGCUUUCAAACUAGUGAGUAGCAAAGUUUGACUAGUUGAACUGGUAACAUUUGUACAGUCAAAGGUGUUUCUGGAAAUGAAGUGUAUACUGUUUGACAGAUGAUGUGGAUGAUGCUCAUGAUUAUUUGGCAACAAGGAAAGUCAUGAAUGUUGUUGGAAUUGGUCAAGAAGAGCAGGAUUCAAUCUUCAGAAUUGUCGCAUCAAUUCUCCAUCUUGGUGAUGUUAGAUUCGCCAAGGGGGAAGAGAUUGAUUCAUCGGUUCUCGAGGAUGAGAAAUCAAAGUUCCAUCUUCAUACAACAGGAGAGCUUUUAAUGUAGAAUAGGGUAUUUAUACUUGCAAGACUCCCUUUUUUCGCAUUAGUGCAAGGGCUUGUCUGGUACCCCUGAAACGCCGUGAAACAACAUUCCUCACCCCAUUAACCGUCGUAUGGUAGCCGCUAAACGUUUCCAGCGACCCGGUACACAACAACCGGGUUUCCAACCUUCAUCUACUACUAUCAGUGGCUUCGUGCUAACACAAUCAGAGUCUUGAGCAGUUGGUGGCUCAAUUUCCGUCGAGGCGAGUUCGGCACUUCACAGGCGUAUCCCCCUCUUCGACUCACUUCAGUUCGGCGUUCAUCGGAUUACUGUUUUCCGGGUGAGUUUUGAUCCGGUUGUUCGAUUGUUGUUGAAUGGUGUCGAUUUGUGCAUAUUUUAGGUUUUGAUGUGGUGUUUUACUUUUUGAACUUCGAAUUGGGGUUCUUGCUUAAUUAAUUCUGUUCUGAUUGGAGAGUUGGUAUUAUUGUGCAUCUGAAGCUAUCAGAUAUUCCCCUUGGAUUUGGUUGCCUUGCAUAAUCGAUUUCGUUCCGCAAUAGAGUGAUUAUGAAUUGGUGAUGAUGAAUGUGGUGUGCAUCUGCAAUAAAGUGAAUUGUGUGAAAAAAAUCAAUCCGGAUAGUGGUCGACCUGUUUAGUGCAUUGUCUAUUUUCUUUGAUUUUACCCCUUUGAUGUUCAUUUGUGAAUGGAUUGAAUUCAGAUUGAGUUUUGUGGGCUCUCAUUUUUUUGGACUGAAUUCAGAUUGAGUUUUCAUCCGUAUCACUCGUUGUAUGAAGAUACUCCCUCUGUGUGCGGGCUCUAGUUUUUUUGGCUGUAGUUUGUAGUUUGUAGCUCUACAUAGAGACUCUGUUAACUCGUUCAGCCAUACAUUACGUGAUGGGAUUGAAGAUCCGGAGAUCAGCUUCCAACUCAAGUUGGAAAACGCUGUACAAAGAAACUUGGCUUCGGCUUUCAACCAAGCCAUGGUGUACUCAAAGAUGAGCGCUGGCAGCUCUGCAAGAGGCUGGAAGCUUGCAUCAGCUGAACAGAGGCUGGUGGAUGCAGAAGCCAUCGUUGAUCUUGCAUUGGACGAAACAGAAAGCAUCGAACAGCUUGAGCUUCUUAGGUUGAAAGCCCUCGUUCUGAUCGCUCAAGAGCAGCCGAAGCAGGCUAUAGAAACCUAUAGGAUCUUGCUAGCUCUGAUUCGGGGACAAGGCGAAAAUCUAGAGAAAAGCGCAAAUAAGGUGGAAACCAAUUACUAUGAAUAGGAGGAGCAAUACACAACAACACAACGGAGAGCAACCAAUUACCUUGUCACAGCUGUAUCCGAUGCACGGCGGGUCGUCGUUUGAUCGCUAGGGUAGAUUUUUUGUUAGAGGAGCCGCUGAACAAAUUUGAGUUAUGUAAACCCUAUUUAAGCCAACUAAUCGACACUCUUCACUCUUGGCGGGAAGAUAAUCAUUGUUUACCGCUUGAAUUUCCAUGAUUUUGGGAUACAACAUCCAUAAUUGGAGUUCA